This 738-nucleotide ribosomal RNA is filed under the name Triticum aestivum (bread wheat). RNAcentral describes it as "partial small subunit ribosomal RNA". The record is from RNAcentral. Lineage: Eukaryota; Viridiplantae; Streptophyta; Magnoliopsida; Poales; Poaceae.
AUGGACCAUUCCAUCCCUUUUUCCCGUGCAUAUGCAUCGGACUCGGAUGACGAUGGUCCCGAUGAACAAGUUGAUGCGGAGGGGUUCACGGUGAAGGAGGCCGAAGCUUUCGAGAAGGUAUUUGGUCGGGAUCAUCGGACUACAUUGUUCAAGGAUGUUAGUCUCGCGGAUGAAGCCGUGGUAGAUGGUGGCCAAUGUGUAGCUCUUGGGGUUAGGCCAAGCUCUCACCGUGAUUUAGUAGACGACAAGAACCGGAUUGCUAAAGGUUCUAAGUUCGACAGCUUGUUGGAUUUGAAGAUGUGGCUCGACAACUACUCGGUUACGCAUUAUUGUCCACACAAGGUGGUGCACUCGGACGUCAAUGUGCGCUACACGGUUGCAUGUGCAUGUGAAGAUGAAAAGGAGGUCCAACUUGGACUUACAAGAGGCCGUGGUGGUGGUAGAGGUCGUGGAAAGGAGGUCCAACAAGGAGUGGCAAGACGCCGUGGCGGUUGUCCGUGGAUUGUGCGUGCAAGACCAUGGAAAGGAGGUCCUACUUGGCAUGUAGUGAGUUGUGUGCCAACUCACAUGUGCCAAGGCAAAAGGGUGGAUGGCAAGAUUGUGUCCCAAGACCACAAACAACUCACGUCCGAGUUGAUCGCUUACAGGCUCUCGAACUCAAUAUCCACACUUCCAACAAUGAGCGUCCAACAUGUCAUUGACCUUGUGAAAGCCAUCUUUCAUUACCAGGUGAAAUAA